This 1311-nucleotide ribosomal RNA is filed under the name Triticum aestivum (bread wheat). Its description in RNAcentral is "partial small subunit ribosomal RNA". The record is from RNAcentral. Lineage: Eukaryota; Viridiplantae; Streptophyta; Magnoliopsida; Poales; Poaceae.
AUGACACCAAUGAUGUUGAUCUCAUCAAUUCCGAUGAUGAGCGUAAUAGAGGACGCCUCUGAUCAACAAGAUGAAUCUGCCGAGCAUGGUACUGCAAAACCUCCUAAAUCCCUUCUAGAUGAGGUAUUUUUUCUUGAUGCACCUAAAGGGAAGAGCUCUGGUGGAUCAAGACCCUGGCGAUACAAACAUUGUGAUAAGAAGUACACAAGUAGUUAUACAAGAAUUCAUCAGCACUUCUUUGGUGUUGGUCCUGGCAAGACGAAACAAAUUGCUCGUUGCUCUGUCGCAAGUGAUCGCUAUCACCAACCUGAGAAAGUACAAGCUUCAGGCUCGGUGCCUAAAAAGCAAUUAGUAGAAGCUUUUGCUGGGGUGGAAAGAGAUGCAGUGGACAUGCAAAUAAUGUUGUUCCUUUGUGCUAAUGGAAUUCCCUUCAAUGUGUUGAGAAGUCCACAAUACUAUGAAAUGGUAGCAGCCAUCCAGAGAGCACCAAAGGGAUACAAACCUCCUGCAUAUGAGAAGGCUAGGACUACUCUUCUAGAUGCAUGUAAGAGAAAGGUGGAGAAUGAUUUGGCUCCGGUUAGACAAACAUUGUAUUCCCAUGGUGUCUGUGUUGUUUCUGACGGAUGGACAAACAUGAAGAACCAUCCAUUAAUCAACGUAAUAGCAUCGAAUAGCUGUGGUUCAAUGUUUCUGUACGCAGAAGACUUCUCUGGAGAAGAGAAGACAGGUGAAGCCAUUGCACAAUUCUUACUACAAGCCACUGAUGAGAUUGGCCCUUCCAAUGUCCUUCAGGUGCAUAAGCAUAUAUUUUGGUCUCCAUGUGUGGAUCACACACUGAAUCUAGUAUUCAAAGUUUUUGCAAAAAAGUUUGCUUGGAUGGUUGAUACAUACCAGACUGGGAAAGCAAUUGUGAAGUUCUUUAGGAACCACCAGCACUUUCAAGACCUCUUUAGACGCAACUCCAAGUUGGAUCUUUUGAAGGUCUCAAAAACAAGAUUUGCUUCUCAUUAUAUUUUGCUUAAGAGGCUUAUGGAUGUUCGAGAGGCGCUCACAACUACCAUUGUCACAAGCAAGUGGAAGGAACUGGUGAAGGCUUGUGAUGUACAAACAAGAGCAGCAGCAAAUGCGAUUGCCCAAAAUAUCAUUGAUGAGACAUUUUGGGAUGAGAUUAAAAUCAUCCUUGACAUCACAAAACCAUUAUACAUGGUAAUCAAGUUCAGUGACGGAGAAGGUCCAAAAUCUGGUGAUAUAUACGGAAAAAAUGGACAAUAUGCUUGGCGAGAUGCAAGAAGUCAUGACAAGGGAAGAUAA